UACGAAGGGGGCUAGCGUUGCUCGGAAUCACUGGGCGUAAAGCGCACGUAGGCGGCUUCUUAAGUCAGGGGUGAAAUCCUGGAGCUCAACUCCAGAACUGCCCUUGAUACUGAGGAGCUCGAGUCCGGAAGAGGUGAGUGGAACUGCGAGUGUAGAGGUGAAAUUCGUAGAUAUUCGCAAGAACACCAGUGGCGAAGGCGGCUCACUGGUCCGGUACUGACGCUGAGGCACGAAAGCGUGGGGAGCAAACAGG
This 253-nucleotide ribosomal RNA is filed under the name uncultured bacterium. RNAcentral describes it as "partial 16S ribosomal RNA". It matches the Rfam family "Bacterial small subunit ribosomal RNA", at positions 524 to 776 of the family's 1533-position model. The record is from RNAcentral.